AAGAGGGGAAGAUAGAGGGGGAGAGAAAGAUAGACACCUGCGGACCCACUUCACCCGUGAAGCAACACUCCUGCAGGUGGGAGCCAGAGGCUCAAUCAGGAUCCUUAUGCCGGUCAUUGCGCUCCGUGCCACGUGCGGUCUGAGGUUUUCUCUUUAUUCCUUCCCUCAAAAGUUUGUUUCUUUUACAUGUGAGACCUGAGCACCUCUCAACUCUGGCACAUGGUAAUGCCAGAGACUGAAUUAACCAGGCUACAUUUUAAAACUGAACAGCUUGGCUUCUCCAUGACUCAAAGUUUGCUUUGCGUAACAAAUGUAUUGCAGUGGGGGAGGUGCACAGCGGUAGACUGCUCGACUCACCAGCGUGUGGUUCUGUCCUUGGCACUGCAUAUGCCGGUGAUGCUCUGGUUCUCUGUUUUAAUCUAGUUAAGUUAUUGGAGCCAGGCAGCAGUAUACACAUGAGCAUACAUGAGAAGCAAAAGGGAUGUAGCAAUAAUAACUGCAAUAAAAACAAGGGCAACAAAAAGGAAAUUGGGGGGGGGGGCGAGACCUGUAGCUCUUCAUCGCCACUCAUGAAGCAUCAUCCCUUUUGCUGCACUUAACCAAGUGCAAAAAAGAAAACCUAGCUUCUAGAGAUUGACUAUGUCCACCUCAGCGGAGGAUGAUUCUGAAAUGAAGCCAAACUUAAGAAUCUUAAGUAAACCAAUGAAGACUCUUGUCCCAAAUUGCUAAUUAUAGGCAGGGGUUCAACGCUUAACAUUCAUAACUUUGAUAUUAACCUCAACAUCACAAUGGAGAUAGGUAAGGCCUAGCUGGGUUCUGAGAAAUUGCAAAAGAAAACAUUUAUUCUUU
Molecule: long non-coding RNA, 849 nt
Organism: Erinaceus europaeus (western European hedgehog)
Lineage: Eukaryota; Metazoa; Chordata; Mammalia; Eulipotyphla; Erinaceidae
Exons: 2
Source: RefSeq, a predicted model, not a curated record